GUACAGAUAGCUGUGUAACAGUGUGUCAGAGGAUCCUCCCAAGUCCAGGAAACACUGCAGACUGCGUGUGUGAACAAGCUGCUUCUCCACAUCAACUGAAUUGGCUCCUGGAAUGGGGUAUCCAAAACUACAGUCCCAAUACGUGGUCCACUGAACCAACUUUAAGUGGCGUCCCGCUUAUCACAUCCACCAGCAGCGACCCACUGGACUAAAAGUCAUAUGAAUAAAGGUGCUGGAUAAAAUCGCUGGAUAAAAUCAAAUGGUCUUACCGUCUCCCUUGAUAGUUCAACGAAGGAAUGUACACAUCCACCUACUGAGCUAGAAGAGAAAAGUCACACAUCUAUCUACAUCUACUGUUAGAAGCUGUAACAAUUACAGGGAGAGAGCAGCAUAAAGGACACACCUCCCUGAGAAAGGACAUGCCCCCUGAGUUGCCAGCUUGAAGAAAAUCUAGCAGAGCAAUUGGAUCU
Molecule: long non-coding RNA, 470 nt
Organism: Bufo gargarizans (Asiatic toad)
Lineage: Eukaryota; Metazoa; Chordata; Amphibia; Anura; Bufonidae
Exons: 3
Source: RefSeq, a predicted model, not a curated record